RNAcentral lists this long non-coding RNA (2229 nucleotides) under Sus scrofa (pig). Its description in RNAcentral is "lncRNA (ENSSSCG00025058029.1)". Lineage: Eukaryota; Metazoa; Chordata; Mammalia; Artiodactyla; Suidae. The record is from RNAcentral.
CUUUGAUAUGGAUAUUGAUUAACGUCUGUGGCUUAAGGGCUCCAGGGUGUAAGACAUCCACAGGCCUUGUUUUAUUCUAGGAAAUGCGCAUUCCCCACAGGCUUUGUUUACUGUAGGAAAUGCGAAUCUCUAGCCCACUCCUCCACUGAUAAAAAAGGAAUGAGAGGAGGGGUGACUUCAUCUAAGGAAAGAAAAGGACAAAAAACCCAUAAAACUCUGGGGACAUUUCCAACCCUAAAACCCCUAUCAGACAAGGAUUGAUACAGGUAAUUGAACAAGGCCAAUGGGAGAAAAACCACCUCUUUCUGGAUCCCAUGUUGGUACCCUCCCCCUCCCCAUCUUUAAGGAAUAAAAAACUCUAAAGGACAAUAGAGAAGGGGGGCUCUUCUCCCCGCUCCCAGCCUGUCCUGGGAGCUAUUUGCUUUUUUUGUCUUUUUGCCAUUUCUUGGGCCGCUCCCGUGGCAUAUGGAGGUUCCCAGGCUAGGGGUCGAAUCAGAGCUGUAGCCACUGGCCUACGCCAGAGCCACAGCAACGCGGGAUCCGAGCCACGUCUGCAACCUACACCACAGCAAUGCCGGAUCGUUAACCUACUGAGCAAGGGCAGGGAUCGAACCCGCAACCUCAUGGUUCCUAGUCGGAUUCGUUAACCACUGCGCCACGACGGGAACUCCUAUUUGCUUUUCUUUAAUACUUUGCCUGCUUGCUGCCUGUGUGUUCAUUCUCCAACCGCAGUGAACAAGAACCUGGAUUCUGGUACCAUCUUUCCAGUAUCACGUCCAGACUCAGCCCUUCCACCUGUGAAUUCCUUUUCUACCCUGAACAUGCAGCUUCCUAGAAAGGAUGGGCACAAAGUACCAAUGCCUAAGUGAGGAAAGUGAUUGAGGAGACACUCAGCCUCCUUACAUGACGUGCAUAGUUUAUCAAAUUAGAAGGAUCAUGAAUUUCUGGGGCAAAGUCAAAGUACAUUCUGGAGUCAUUCUGGAAAGAUAUGGAAGUUACACUCCACCCCAUACAUCCUGUGUAAUUAACACCGACACAAAACCAUUAUCCUCACAUGUAGUUUCACCUAGAAGUUUUAGAAGGAAUCACCACUUUCAUGUAAUAACCAUAUCUCACAUUCACCUAAAACAGCUAUAAUUAGAAGAUAUAUUUAGUAUUUAUCACUAAUCAAACAAAAUAUGGCCACUAAGGCAGUGUCCAAGGAAUGAGAUACACAAAUUAGAGAGAUACAAAAUCAUGGCUAAUAGUCACUCAUGAGCAGAUCUAAAAAUUUUAUUUGAUUCUUUUUAUUCCAUUUCUCAGGACAUUAGUGCUCAUAUAGCUUUUUUUUUUUUUUCCUUUCCUUUUUUUCACCAUAGAAUGAUGUGUUUCCUUUCCUCUAUAAAGACUAUGAAGAGAAGAAGAAAAAUGCAAGUGGAAAAAAAGGAAAAACAUACACUGGUAAAUGGAGGUGAUUCCAUAGAGAAUUUUUACAAGUCAGCUAUAUUUUUUCAUUGUUCUAAAAUACUUCAGAAUCAUUGCUGGUAGCUUGAAGAAAUACACACCAUGCUCUGCCCCCGAGCUAAAUAAACUGUAUUUAUUUUAAGCUCUAAUGCCACAUUUCAAGAAAAAUGUGUAUCUAGAGAAGAUGACUGGGAUGGUACGAAAUUCCCAAAAUAUAUCAUAUAGAAAAAAGGGGAGGAAAUAGGGAUACUUGUCCUCCAAAGGACACAAACAUUCUGAAAUAAUAAUAGCAGCCAUUAUGCUGUAGACCCUAAAGUAUAUGUCAAUUAUAUCUCAAUAAAACCAAAAGAAUAAAUAAUAACAGCAAACAUUUAGUGAAUGUGUAUCCCACACCAGGCAUUGAGCUAAAUAACUUAUGUGCAUUAUCUCAUCUAAUCCUUACAACUACCAUACAAGAUAAUAUUACAUUUUACAGACAAAGAAUCCAAAGAUUGGAUAUACUCAACCGAGAUGUCAGCUGACACCUGGGAAAAGUAAAACCAUUCUGCAGGUCUGCCUUACAUUUAACGCCUAACACCUUCAUCUGUGACAAUGGCUUCAAUGUAAGAGACAGCAGCCCAGCCUCUCUUGUAGUUGAUCCCUGGCUUCGCUCAGUGGGUUAAGGAUCUGGCAUUGCCGUGAGCUGUGACGUAGGUCAAAGAUGUGGCUCGGAUCUGGCGUUGCUGUGGCUAUGGCGUAGGCCAGUGGUUACAGCUCCAAUUCGACCCCUAGCCAAGGAACCUCCAU